UGUAAGCGUAUACCAAAGUUGUUGCAGUUAAAACGCUCGUAGUCGGAAUUUGGCAGUUCCGGAUGUGUGCACGUCGUGUGCGCACUUCGCGGGGAUUGCUUUUGUGGUCUUGCGUAGGAUGAGGCACUUUUAUUAGUGAACGUCCUCACGCAACCACUUUUUACUGUGAGAAAAUCAGAGUGCUCAAAGCAGGCAUUUGCCGUGAAUGUAUUAGCAUGGAAUAAUAGAAUAGGACUUGGUUCUAUUUUGUUGGUUUGUUGGGACUGAGUAAUGAUUAAGAGGGACAGUUGGGGGCAUUUGUAUUUCGGUGCUAGAGGUGAAAUUCUUAGAUUACCGAAAGACAAACUGCUGCGAAAGCGUCUGCCAAGGAUUUUUUCAUUGA
Molecule: ribosomal RNA, 382 nt
Filed under: uncultured eukaryote
Lineage: Eukaryota
Description: partial 18S ribosomal RNA
Rfam family: Eukaryotic small subunit ribosomal RNA
Source: RNAcentral